Molecule: transfer RNA, 71 nt
Filed under: Loxodonta africana (African savanna elephant)
Lineage: Eukaryota; Metazoa; Chordata; Mammalia; Proboscidea; Elephantidae
Rfam family: tRNA
About the family: Transfer RNA (tRNA) molecules are approximately 80 nucleotides in length. Their secondary structure includes four short double-helical elements and three loops (D, anti-codon, and T loops).
Source: Rfam by way of RNAcentral
GCACUGGAGGUUCAGUGGUAGGAUUGUUGCCUUCCACGUGGGAGACCCAGGUUCGAUUCCCUGCCAGUGCU